Molecule: ribosomal RNA, 492 nt
Filed under: uncultured bacterium
Lineage: Bacteria
Description: partial 16S ribosomal RNA
Rfam family: Bacterial small subunit ribosomal RNA
Source: RNAcentral
AGUGAACGCUGGCGGUAGGCCUAACACAUGCAAGUCGAACGGCAGCACAGUAAGAGCUUGCUCUUACGGGUGGCGAGUGGCGGACGGGUGAGGAAUACAUCGGAAUCUACUUUUUCGUGGGGGAUAACGUAGGGAAACUUACGCUAAUACCGCAUACGACCUACGGGUGAAAGCAGGGGAUCUUCGGACCUUGCGCGAUUGAAUGAGCCGAUGUCGGAUUAGCUAGUUGGCGGGGUAAAGGCCCACCAAGGCGACGAUCCGUAGCUGGUCUGAGAGGAUGAUGGCCCCCAACGGAAAGGAGAAAAGGCCCAGAAGCCCACGGGAGGAAGCAGGUGGGAAGAUUAUGCAAAGGGGGGAAGACUGAUGCAGCAACAACGCGGGGGGGAAGAAGGGCCUCGGGGGGUAAAAACCCUUUUUUGGGGAAGAAAAAAAGCAGCAGGAAAAACCCACGUUUUGACGGGAACCAAAAAAAAAGAAACGGCUAACAACGUG